Molecule: transfer RNA, 51 nt
Filed under: Pseudogarypus banksi
Lineage: Eukaryota; Metazoa; Arthropoda; Arachnida; Pseudoscorpiones; Pseudogarypidae
Description: tRNA-Ile
Source: RNAcentral
AUUUAAGAAUAAUUCAAUGAUAAAGAAACAAAGCUAUUUAAGCCUUAAAUU